AAAGGAAUUGACGGGGACCCGCACAAGCGGUGGAGCGUGUUCUUUAAUUCGAUGCUAAACGAAGAACCUUACCAGGGCUUGACAUCCCUUGAAUUUCUGCGAAAGCAGAAAGUGCUUUAUUGAACAAGGUGACAGGUGCUGCAUGGCCGUCGUCAGCUCGUGUCGUGAGAUGUUUGGUUAAGUCCAUCAACGAGCGCAACCCUUGUGAUUAGUUGAAUUUUUCUAAUCAUACUGCCCCGGCAACGGGGAGGAAGGAGGGGAUGAUGUCAGGUCAGUAUUGCCCUUACGUCCUGGGCUAGAAACGCGCUACAAUGGCUGGUACAACGCGAAGCCAACCCGCAAGGGGGAGCAAAUCGCAUCAAAGCCAGUCCCAGUUCGGAUUGCAGGCUGAAACUCGCCUGCAUGAAGUCGGAAUCGCUAGUAAUCGCAGAUCAGCAAGCUGCGGUGAAUACGUUCCCGGGUCUUGUACACACCGCCCGU
Molecule: ribosomal RNA, 480 nt
Filed under: uncultured bacterium
Lineage: Bacteria
Description: bacterial SSU rRNA
Rfam family: Bacterial small subunit ribosomal RNA
Source: RNAcentral